UAUCUAAUUAAAAACAAUAAUUUCUCAAUCAAUAUUAAUAAGAACUACAUGUGCAUGGAUUGCCAGUUGGAUUGAUGUUUGUUUUAAGAAGAAAUUUCUCUCAACUAAGAUAUCCACUCGAGAAAGGUUAAUAUCGAACUUAUAAGGUGUUAAGCUGCAAUUACAAUAAAAGUGCUUGCUAUGGAAUCACCGGUGCUGAUCAUUAUUGUCAACUGUUACUUAAAAUCCAGAUGAACCAACCUUUACUUCCUAUUCAAAUAAGUUUAGAAGAAACCUAUAUAAGCAAUAAAACCAGACCAAGAAUGCUUGAUUACAAACGAUGAACUCAUUUCAUUUGCAAGUUAUGCCAUGACAUAAAUGCAUUAAAUUAGGAAGAUUUGUAUUAGAUGAAUAUUAACUUCUGUUGAUAAGAACAUUUGAUUGGUGGAAUCCAGAUUCUGUGAAUGUACAUGUAAUUGAUUGACAAGUACACAUUUGACAAGGUAAAUUAAUUUUAUUUAACAAAGUAGUGCAAAUCUAGAAACAGAC
Ostrinia nubilalis (European corn borer) is the source of this 528-nucleotide long non-coding RNA. RefSeq lists it as uncharacterized. Lineage: Eukaryota; Metazoa; Arthropoda; Insecta; Lepidoptera; Crambidae. The transcript is spliced from 3 exons. The record is from RefSeq and is a predicted model, not a curated record.